UACGUAGGGCGCAAGCGUUGUCCGGAAUUAUUGGGCGUAAAGAGCUCGUAGGCGGCUUGUCACGUCGAUUGUGAAAGCCCGAGGCUUAACCUCGGGUCUGCAGUCGAUACGGGCUAGCUAGAGUGUGGUAGGGGAGAUCGGAAUUCCUGGUGUAGCGGUGAAAUGCGCAGAUAUCAGGAGGAACACCGGUGGCGAAGGCGGAUCUCUGGGCCAUUACUGACGCUGAGGAGCGAAAGCCAGGGGAGCAAACGGG
RNAcentral lists this ribosomal RNA (253 nucleotides) under uncultured bacterium. RNAcentral describes it as "partial 16S ribosomal RNA". It matches the Rfam family "Bacterial small subunit ribosomal RNA", at positions 524 to 776 of the family's 1533-position model. The record is from RNAcentral.